GAUGAAGAACGUAGCGAAAUGCGAUAAGUAAUAUGAAUUGCAGAAUUCAGUGAAUCAUCGAAUCUUUGAACGCACAUUGCGCCCGCCAGUAUUCUGGCGGGCAUGCCUGUUCGAGCGUCAUUUCAACCCUCAGGCCCCCAGUGCCUGGUGUUGGGGAUCGGCCCAGCCUUCCUGUAAGGCCGCCGGCCCCGAAAUCUAGUGGCGGUCUCGCUGUAGUCCUCCUCUGCGUAGUAGCACAACCUCGCAGUUGGAACGCGGCGGUGGCCAUGCCGUUAAACACCCCACUUCUGAAAGUUGACCUCGGAUCAGGUAGGAAUACCCGCUGAACUUAAGCAUAUCAAUAAGCGGAGGA
Molecule: unclassified non-coding RNA, 352 nt
Filed under: soil metagenome
Description: partial contains 5.8S ribosomal RNA, internal transcribed spacer 2, and large subunit ribosomal RNA
Rfam family: 5.8S ribosomal RNA (bases 1-120)
Source: RNAcentral